Molecule: ribosomal RNA, 326 nt
Filed under: uncultured bacterium
Lineage: Bacteria
Description: bacterial SSU rRNA
Rfam family: Bacterial small subunit ribosomal RNA
Source: RNAcentral
GAUGAACGCUGGCGGCGUGCUUAACACAUGCAAGUCGAACGAAGCACCUUAUUCUGAUUUCUUCGGAAUGAAAAAUUUGGUGACUGAGUGGCGGACGGGUGAGUAACGCGUGGGUAACCUGCCUCAUACAGGGGGAUAACAGUUAGAAAUGGCUGCUAAUACCCCAUAAGACCACAGCACCGCAUGGUGCAGGGGUAAAAACUCCGGUGGUAUGAGAUGGACCCGCGUCUGAUUAGGUAGUAGGCGGGGUAACGGCCCACCUAGCCAACGAUGGAUAGGGGUUCUGAGAGGAAGGUCCCCCACAUUGGAACUGAGACACGGUCCAA